Molecule: long non-coding RNA, 842 nt
Filed under: Cricetulus griseus (Chinese hamster)
Lineage: Eukaryota; Metazoa; Chordata; Mammalia; Rodentia; Cricetidae
Description: lncRNA (ENSCGRG00000024848.1)
Source: RNAcentral
CUGAAAUAGCCAAAAGAUCAAGGGACACCUUCCUGCAUGUUUUGCUCGCUUUUACCCAUGGGAAGAAGGUGAUAUUACCUGACUGGUGAAAAUGCUUGGAAAUUUCUACCUGCCUGCUACACUGAAAAGGGGAUCAUAUCUAUUAUUGGUGUUUCAAUUUUCAAAACUACUUCCCUUAUCUGUUGAUAGCCACCAACAAGCCCACUGCUAAAAGCCAUGUCUGUGAACACUGCUAAAGCUGUUUCCAAAUGUGCUUUGUACACAGGUGAACUCAGAUGAGACAAGAAGAAUCCUUCAACAAGAUGAACUUCAACUUUUAUCUGCUUUAUGCAUAUUGGUCUCCUUUCUCUAACAUUUUGGUAGAGAAAAUUGUACAAACAAACUUAAAUGAAUACCAAACUGCAGCCAGAGUAAAAUAUAAUGAUAGUAGUUGUCCUGAACCCCGAUCAUCAAACUCAGUCCCAGUAAACAUUCCAAAUAUCCACAGCAGUCACGAGUGAUAAAUGAAUCAUUUGACUCAAAGAACAAGGAAUGAGACAGAGACAUGGAGAAUGCUGCAGGUCAGCUGCCAAGCUCUACACUGGGCCACAUGGUCAUGGGACCUAGAGAAGAUACUGGACACACCGUCCCAUCCAAUCCCCAUCUCCUCUCCAUGGCAUUCAUUCAUACAUUCUCCAUAGUUGGAGACCUGGUUUAAAAUGCAGCUCAGAAAAAUGAUUCCUUAGGUCUCUUGAGAAACCGUGAAGUUGGAAUCAGUUUACUUAAAUCACUUUAGAAUGAAAGUUUACUUGGUGUGGUGGUUUGAAUGACAAUGUCCUCUGUAGGAGCAGGUAUCUGGGCAU